GCGGGUGUAGCUCAGUUGGUAGAGCGUGUGCUUGCCAAGCACAAGGUCGUCGGUUCGAAACCGAUCACCCGCUCCA
RNAcentral lists this transfer RNA (76 nucleotides) under bacterium. RNAcentral's name for it is "tRNA-Gly". It matches the Rfam family "tRNA". From Rfam's summary of the family: Transfer RNA (tRNA) molecules are approximately 80 nucleotides in length. Their secondary structure includes four short double-helical elements and three loops (D, anti-codon, and T loops). The record is from RNAcentral. RNAcentral also lists the same sequence under 2 other names.